This is an RNA transcript of Nematostella vectensis (starlet sea anemone), 3664 nucleotides long. It is a transcript of the gene named retrotransposon-like protein 1, with no coding region annotated. Lineage: Eukaryota; Metazoa; Cnidaria; Anthozoa; Actiniaria; Edwardsiidae. The record is from RefSeq and is a predicted model, not a curated record. The transcript has 10 exons.
CUUUCCAUGGGAGCAGAUUUUCACAUUACUUCCCAGAGAGCGCAUUUUGAAGGUUUACCGCUACGGCAACAACUUCUUAAGAAGUUUGUGAAGUCCCCUAGACUACUUGGCUGACAUUGGCGUGUUUCUUUAUAACCUUUUUGAUAUUGUAUCACGGAAAAGACGAUAAGCAGCAUACAAACAAAGUUUUUAAACAUUAUGGCGUUUGUUUCCAUUGUUUUGGCAGCGGCUGUAGCGACCCUGCCUUCGGCAGUGUCUGCCGAUGCAUUGACGGGCUUUGGAAGUGGCGCUCUCAUACCUCUGGCCAUCGUCUUUCUGCUCCUCACUAUCGCCGUCCUGGUGACCCUCGUUGCCCUGUUCUUCAUCGCGUACAAGCGCUUCGUCUCCAAGGUUACGGAUGCUGAAAAAGAAACGGAUGUUGAUGUCCAUGCGGCUGGUAGCUCAAGAUCGGGAAUAGAAGAUAAGGUUGAAGGCCAUGACGAUCAGAAUGGCGGCAACUACGAGGAGUUAAAAAGAAACGGAUCAACAUUGACUGAGGCCAACCACAACGAGGCCUAUGAAUGUAUGGAAAUGAACGACUACGAUUACAUCGUCCCCAGGCAAAACGAAUACAACAACCCCGAUGGCCCUAUACAAGACCAGUACAACAACCCCGAUGGCCCUAUACAAGACCAGUACAACAACCCAGAGGGCCCUAUACAAGACCAGUACAACGACCCCGAGGGUCCUAUACAAGACCAGUACAACAACGCCGAUGGCCCUAUACAAGACCAGUACAACAACCCCGAGGGCCCUAUACAAGACCAGAACGAAAGCCAUGUUGGUCCUAAACAAGACCAACAGGAGGAAAGAUCAACAGAAGCUGUUGGCGACCUGUUAGCCUUGAUUGCAAACACUGACCAAUGGCAGGCUCAGGGCGACGAUGAAGCGACACAGAACCACGACGAAAAUCCAAACGAAAGGGUCACCGAAAAACCCGAAGACGCUGAUCAGCCGCAGGCUCAAGGAAUUUACACUGUAAAUGCGAACGCUGACCAACAACAUUCUCAAGGAAAUAAUCCCGCGAAUUCAAAAGCUGACCAACCACAGGAUCACGGAAUUUACAUUGUAAAUGCAAACGCUGAUCAUCCGCAGGCUCAAGAACAUACCCCAGCAUGGGUGAACGCUGACCAACAACAGGCUCAAGGAAAUAAUCCUGCGAAUUCAAACGCUGACCAACCACAGGAUCACGGAAUUUACAUUGUAAAUGCAAACGCUGAUCAUCCGCAGGCUCAAGAACAUACCCCAGCAUGGAUGAACGCUGACCAAUCGCAGGCUCAAGAACAUACUCCAGCAUGGGUGAACGCUGUCCAAUCGCAGGCUCAAGAACAUACCCCAAAAUGGGAGCACGAUGACCAAUCGCAAGCUUUAAAAAAGAUAGAUGACAAGGCGGCUUUACCCGCAGAAUCUGGCCAAUCGCAGUUCCAGGAUGUGGUAAUUGAACGCGCUGUGAAGGACAAGGGGGACUACUUACAAGAAAAAGCUCACAAACACGGGGAACAGGUAGAAGAUGUCGCAAAGCAUGCUGGAGGGAAGGACUUACAAGAAAAAGCUCACAAACACAGAGAACAGGUAGAAGAUGUCGCAAAGCAUGCUGGAGGGAAGGACUUACAAGAAAAAGCUCACAAACACGGGGAACAUGUAGAAGAUGUCGCAAAGCAUGCUGGAGGGAAGGACUUACAAGAAAAAGCUCACAAACACGGGGAACAGGUAGAAGAUGUCGCAAAGCAAGCUGGAUAUCCUUACCAAAAAAAGGUCCGGGGCUCGAAUGUAUCGAGUCUUUUGUCGCGAUUUUCAUAGAAACGCUGUCAGAUGAUCGAGUGGCUCAAUGAGUGAACACGCGGCAAGGAUGUAGCUAGAAAACUCUGUUCUAAGGGGCAAGCCUAGGAUAUUUCUUUCACUUGCUUCGGAAGCAGACGCUAUUUUUUUAUAAUGUAUUUUGUCAGCUCACUAAGCUGCCCCUAGCUGCGCGACAAGAUUCAACUUCUUUGUUAGCGCCACAAACAGACGGCGUUAGUGAUAGCGCAGAGGGCAACGAAUGAAUGGACGCUUAUCAAUAUUUCACUAUAUUGUGUCGAGUGGUGUAAAUAUAUUCAGAACCAAGGCACUUAGGACGCACUCGGAAACAAAAAUCAUGUUACGCAGGUCAACUUUUUAAGCCCUCUCAUAUAAUAUGCCACAUACUGUGUCAUCUAGAAUUUUCGAGUGGUAGUUGGUCUUAAUCCCACUAGAAAUACCGACAGGGGGAAGGGAGUUCAGAUGACGAGUAAUAUUAUCACAAUCCCUCUACGAUCAGCACUUUUCGGGAAAUACACUCAUUGAGGGUGAGCGAGACGUUAGACAUGUUUUCUCGGGUUUUGAUGGCACUCAUCUUGUUCCAUGCGCGUACCUGGGAUUGGCUGAGGUUGUGCGCAGUCCUAGACUAUAUCUGAGAUACCUAGUGGAUUGCCAGGCCGUGUUGUAUUCGCCAUGGGAUCCGUGGCAUUUAUUGCAACAGCGUCCCUUUUGCUGAUGGCUGCCAUGGCCCAAGGAGCUGAUGAUGAUACAGAUGAUGACCGCGCUCGCAUUCUAGAAAAAAAUGACGCCCUGUUUACGACUAUCAUGAUUUUCAGCUUUUUAUUCGCCAUACAACUCAUCUUAUGUAUGAUAUUCAGCUAUAAAGGCUGUCUCGCCAAAUUCAGGCCUAAGCCACCGCCUUACUUCCCGCCAACGAAUCCAUCUCUAUUAGAAGUAGAGCAGCCGCCGGCAUAUUCUGAGAGAGCGGAAACAGAGAAUGGAGAGGCAGCUCAAGAUGGCUCACCUGAUAUCACGGAGACUCGUAUUUCUAUGGAUCAGGGUGACUUAUUUCGAGAGGGCUCAUCCAAUACCACAGAUACACGUAUUUCUAUGAAUCAGGUUGACUCCAGUUCACCCGAUAUCACGGAGACUUUUAUUUCUAUGGAUCAGGGUGAAUUAAGUCAAGGAGGAUCACCCAAUUCCACAGAGACUCGUAUUUCUAUGAAUCAGGUUGACUCCAAUUCACCCGAUAUCACGGAUACUUCUAUUUCUAUGGAUCAGGGUGAAUUAAGUCAAGGAGGAUCACCCAAUAGCACAGAGACUCGUAUUUCUAUGAAUCAGGGUAAUCGAAGUCAAGUGGGCUCACCGAUAUCACGGAGACGCAUACUCUAUGACUGACUCAAGUGGAACUCACCCGAUAGAACAGCUCACAAUGAAAUGAAGCCAGGGUGGCAGCUAAUAAUACUCGAGACUCUAGAUAGAUAAGGGUGGUUUAAGUGUCGUCAUCUAAUAUCACAGAGUUCCGCAUCGAAAUGGAGCAAUGUGAUCCAAAGUCAAGAUGGGUCAUCUGAUGUCACAGAGUUCCGCAUCGAAAUCGAGCAUUACAAGAAGGGUACACUGAGUGACUGUUGGAGUGGCUGUUGUAGCUAUCGCAGAGAAUCAUCCGGAUGGAAAACAAAGGCCUGAUGGUGGUAAAUCGCGGGGGGAUUACAUCCACGGGGAUACCAUAUGUGGUGCAAAACCACCUUGAAAUAGCGGCUCAGUGGGACAUUACUAUCUUGUCAUCUUCCAUUAUGACACGAAAAAUGAUGCUUUGGUGAUAAAGCCAAAGAAUUGAAACACACCGAAA